AUCAAAGAUUAAACAAUUAUUCAUAAUUAAAAUGCUAAAACUAAUUGCAAGUAAUGAAAUGAUAGAAUGAUAAAAAUCAACAAUAUUCAUAUAUGACAAAACCACAACCAGACCUCUUCUCCUCCGCCACACCGACAUUGCCAAACAUGAAAUUAAAUCCACCAUCCGAAUCACCUCUAACUCUACACUCAAAAUCCAUCAACCAUUGAACCUAAUUUCAAAUCUAUCAAUCAAAUCGAAACAGAAAAUGCAUGAAACCUAAUCUACAAAACCAGAAAUUAAAUGAAGAUAACGAUGAAUCAAAGCCUCUCAUGAGAGGGCUUUGAUUCCAGGAACCACGAACUACAUCAUGGUAUCGUCCUCGAAGCCAAACGAAGCUGAAUAAAACACCUACCUACCGUAGAAGAUGACUUAUACGGCGGAGACGGCACCGGAAUCCACAGGUUCAAACAAGCUUCUGACUUGGCUCAUGUUGUUAUAAACCUUGACGGUAGCUUGUAAUUUCGGGCUUGGUUUCAUGUAGAAGGUCUUGGUUUUUGGUUACAUGGUUCUGCAGCAGGUCUGCAAUAUGGUGAAUGGUUUCUGAUGUAGCAGGGUGUAUUGCUUCAUGGAAUGUUUUAGGUUUGCAUUGUAGCUUGUGAUUUCUGCAGGUGUAUCAUGUAUGUGUUGCUUCAUGUUGUGUUCUGCAGCAUAUGUGCAGUAGGGCAUGGUUUCAUGUAGUGGACAAUGGUGGUUGAACACAAAUGGUCAAGUUUGAAUUUGAAGCCUCAAUGUACAAAUGGCCAACCAAAGAUCAAGAUGGAUACUUUGAAGAUUUGGAAAGGAGUUUAGGGUUUUAGGAUGGAAAAAAAAGUUGGGUUGACUUUGGUCAAAGUUGACCAAAAAGUCAAUUGUUGACUAAAGUCAACAUUUGGUCCACAUAUAAUUUUUUGCAUUUUUUAUAAUGAACAAUGUAUGAUGGAUUGUAAUGAUGGAAUUGGCCAUUUGAAUGAAAAUGAAUUAGUUUUUGAA
Long non-coding RNA from Lathyrus oleraceus (garden pea), 1011 nucleotides. RefSeq lists it as uncharacterized. NCBI's taxonomy places the organism in Eukaryota, Viridiplantae, Streptophyta, Magnoliopsida, Fabales, Fabaceae. The record is from RefSeq and is a predicted model, not a curated record. The transcript is spliced from 4 exons.